RNAcentral lists this long non-coding RNA (1486 nucleotides) under Ficedula albicollis (Collared flycatcher). RNAcentral describes it as "lncRNA (ENSFALG00000028191.1)". The record is from RNAcentral. Lineage: Eukaryota; Metazoa; Chordata; Aves; Passeriformes; Muscicapidae.
CAUUUAUUUGCUUCCCUUGCUUCCAGAUGGACUUCUGCCUUCCUCUUACUUCCAGUGUGUUUCACACCUCUGCCAGGAGGUUCCCAGGAGGAUUUCCAAACACCACACACCCCCUUGCCAGGAAACCUCGUCAACAAUUCCAGGGAAGGUUAAAGGACAGGCACAAUGGAAAUUCAGCAUCAAUGGGAGCAAAUGAACAACGGUCCCGAGGCACCACAGAAUUCAUGGCCAACAAAAUGGCAAUUCCAGAAGGCACUAAAAGGCAUCCAGAGUCCUAAUGGCCACUAACAAGUUUGAUUUUGCUAAUUAGAGGUGGAUAUCUUAUGACAUGGGCUGGAAGCCUCCAUUCCCAGUAUCCUCUGUGGCCUCUAACACUUGCCUUUUAAAGAAGAUAAUUUUUUUAACAUUAUUUUAAAGAUAGAAAUAAGUAUAUUUUAAAGAUGAGGAUAAAUAGAAGUCUUUCAUGGGCUUGCCUUUAUAAGUUAGAAAGCAUUUUGAGCAUCACGCUUGAGACAAAAUCUAGGUUCUUUCUGGUGAAAAAUCUCAGAGCAAGAUAACAAACCAUUCCAAUACAAAUGAACACCAAUUCUGAUGACUUCAGCAGGGGUUUUACUGAACAGAAGCAUUUCAUAGCAUCUUGCUGUUGUUCUACAUAAAAAUAAUUCCCAUUCCAUCCACAACUCUUGGGUCUUAGCUUUAGUGUAACAAUGGCAUCUUCCAUCCCAUUAAUUUUAUUCUGACAGGCAACAUAUUUAGAAAACCACUUAAUAAUUCAGUAUUUCCUUAGUCAACAUAGACCAUCCCUUUCCAGACACAAACAACAUUGUGGGAUUAAUUCUGCUGUGCUUAUGUGCAAGUGGACUACAAGAAAAUGGGAAUAAACAACAUUGUGGGAUUAAUUCUGCUGUUUUUAUGUGCAAGUGGACUACAAGAAAAUGGGAAUGACAUAAACAGAAGUAAGCACUCCUAAAGCAGAACUUCAAAUUUUAUCUAUGACUGCCUUUAAAGCUAUACUCAAAUUAGCUCAAAAUGCUGAGAAUUUCCCUAAGGGCUAGAUCUCAGCUCAUGUUAAUUACAUCACUCCACCGAAGGUAACAAAUCCAUGUGGAUUUCUACCACCUGGGAAGUGUAGAAGCAGGAAGAAGCAACCAAUGUAUCUGAAGGCAGCACAUAAAUCUUGUAAGGAAAAUAAGCAAGUUUCACACCAAAGCCCAGAAGAGCAGCACUGGAGCUGUUUGCUUCCUUCAAGCUGCGUGAGGAGAAUCAGCCAAGCACAAGCUCCUGCCCCUCAGAGACAGGGGAAUAGCUGAGUGUGGUUUCCAAAUAACUAAAAGUGAGCUGGCCAAAAAAAAAUGAGGUCUCUGAAUAUUACUGAAAUAUUUGGGUGUGAUGUCUUUCAGCUCCUAACAAACCUUUUGUCCCUUCUUUAGGAAUUUUCAGUGAUGUUCCACCUGAGGCUCUUUAUUUUGCUCAUUUAAUUGUUCUC